Apteryx haastii (Great spotted kiwi) is the source of this 162-nucleotide small nuclear RNA. Its record names the gene U1. It matches the Rfam family "U1 spliceosomal RNA". Rfam says of the family: U1 is a small nuclear RNA (snRNA) component of the spliceosome (involved in pre-mRNA splicing). Its 5' end forms complementary base pairs with the 5' splice junction, thus defining the 5' donor site of an intron. There are significant differences in sequence and secondary structure between metazoan and yeast U1 snRNAs, the latter being much longer (568 nucleotides as compared to 164 nucleotides in human). The record is from Ensembl. NCBI's taxonomy places the organism in Eukaryota, Metazoa, Chordata, Aves, Apterygiformes, Apterygidae.
GAAGCCACCUGACAGGGGAGAUACCAUGCUCAUGAAGGUGUUUUUUCCAAGGGAAAAGCUUGUCUCUUGCACUUUGGGUAUGCUGACUCUUGCCAUUUCCCCAAAUGCAGGAAAUUUGCCUACUUUUUUGUGAUAAUGGCAAACUCUGUUCAUGUUCUCCCC